CCUACGGGAGGCAGCAGUGGGGAAUAUUGGGCAAUGGGCGCAAGCCUGACCCAGCAACGCCGCGUGAAGGAAGAAGGCUUUCGGGUUGUAAACUUCUUUUCUCAGGGACGAAGCAAGUGACGGUACCUGAGGAAUAAGCCACGGCUAACUACGUGCCAGCAGCCGCGGUAAUACGUAGGUGGCAAGCGUUAUCCGGAUUUACUGGGUGUAAAGGGCGUGUAGGCGGGAAAGCAAGUCAGAUGUGAAAACCACGGGCUCAACCUGUGGCCUGCAUUUGAAACUGUUUUUCUUGAGUACUGGGGAGGCAGACGGAAUUCCUAGUGUAGCGGUGACAUGCGUAGAUAUUAGGAGGAACACCAGUGGCGAAGGCGGUCUGCUGGACAGCAACUGACGCUGAGGCGCGAAAGCGUGGGGAGCAAACAGGAUUAGAUACCCGUGUAGUC
This 443-nucleotide ribosomal RNA is filed under the name uncultured bacterium. Its description in RNAcentral is "partial 16S ribosomal RNA". It matches the Rfam family "Bacterial small subunit ribosomal RNA", at positions 338 to 795 of the family's 1533-position model. The record is from RNAcentral.